RNAcentral lists this ribosomal RNA (375 nucleotides) under uncultured organism. RNAcentral's name for it is "partial 16S ribosomal RNA". It matches the Rfam family "Bacterial small subunit ribosomal RNA", at positions 527 to 896 of the family's 1533-position model. The record is from RNAcentral.
GUAGGUGGCAAGCGUUGUCCGGAAUUAUUGGGCGUAAAGCGCGCGCAGGCGGUCCUUUAAGUCUGAUGUGAAAGCCCACGGCUCAACCGUGGAGGGUCAUUGGAAACUGGGGGACUUGAGUACAGAAGAGGAAAGCGGAAUUCCAAGUGUAGCGGUGAAAUGCGUAGAGAUUUGGAGGAACACCAGUGGCGAAGGCGGCUUUCUGGUCUGUAACUGACGCUGAGGCGCGAAAGCGUGGGGAGCAAACAGGAUUAGAUACCCUGGUAGUCCACGCCGUAAACGAUGAGUGCUAAGUGUUAAGGGGGUUUCCCGCCCCCCUUAGUGCUGCAGCUAACGCAUUAAGCACUCCGCCUGGGGAGUACGGCCGCAAGGCUG